This 505-nucleotide ribosomal RNA is filed under the name uncultured bacterium. Its description in RNAcentral is "partial 16S ribosomal RNA". It matches the Rfam family "Bacterial small subunit ribosomal RNA", at positions 28 to 507 of the family's 1533-position model. The record is from RNAcentral.
GAUGAACGCUGGCGGCGUGCCUAAUACAUGCAAGUAGAACGCACAGAUUAUACUGUCGCUUGCUACACCAUAGACUGUGAGUUGCGAACGGGUGAGUAACGCGUAGGUAACCUGCCUGGUAGCGGGGGAUAACUAUUGGAAACGAUAGCUAAUACCGCAUAAUAUUGAUUAUUGCAUGAUAAUUGAUUGAAAGAUGCUAUUUCAUCACUACUAGAUGGACCUGCGGUGUAUUAGCUAGGAGGUGAGGUAACGGCUCAUCUAGGCGACGAUACAUAGCCGAGCUGGUGUGGUGAACGACCAAACUGGGACUGGGAGAAGGCUCCAAAUCCUGCGGGGGGCGACAAUAGGGUAACUUAGGCAAAGGGCGGAAAUCUUACCGAAGAACGCCCGGUGAGUGAAGGAAGGUUUCGGGUCGUAAAGCUCUGUUUUGAGGGAAGGAAGGGUAUGAGAGUGGAAAGUUCACACUUUGACGGUAUCUUACCAGAAAGGGACGGCUAACUACGUG